UACGAAGGGGGCUAGCGUUGUUCGGAAUCACUGGGCGUAAAGCGCACGUAGGCGGACUUUUAAGUCAGGGGUGAAAGCCUGAGGCUCAACCUCAGAACUGCCCUUGAUACUGGGAGUCUUGAGUAUGGUAGAGGUUGGUGGAACAGCAAGUGUAGAGGUGAAAUUCGUAGAUCUACGAAGGAACGCCAAAAGCGAAGGCAGCUCUCUGGGUCCCUACCGACGCUGGGGUGCGAAAGCAUGGGGAGCGAACAGG
Molecule: ribosomal RNA, 253 nt
Filed under: uncultured bacterium
Lineage: Bacteria
Description: partial 16S ribosomal RNA
Rfam family: Bacterial small subunit ribosomal RNA
Source: RNAcentral